Molecule: transfer RNA, 67 nt
Filed under: Pseudoneureclipsis sibuyana
Lineage: Eukaryota; Metazoa; Arthropoda; Insecta; Trichoptera; Polycentropodidae
Description: tRNA-Leu
Source: RNAcentral
ACUAUUUUGUCAGAUUUAAUGAAUUAAUUUUAGGGGUUAAUUAUAUAUAAGGUUUAUAUAGGUAGUA